GUGCUGGGCGGAGGCUACACAUGCAGUCGAACGGUAACAUUUCUAGCUUGCUAGAAGAUGACGAGUGGCGGACGGGUGAGUAAUGCUUGGGAACUUGCCUUUGCGAGGGGGAUAACAGUUGGAAACGACUGCUAAUACCGCAUAAUGUCUUCGGACCAAACGGGGCUUUUAGCUCCGGCGCAAAGAGAGGCCCAAGUGAGAUUAGCUAGUUGGUAAGGUAACGGCUUACCAAGGCGACGAUCUCUAGCUGUUCUGAGAGGAAGAUCAGCCACACUGGGACUGAGACACGGCCCAAACUCCUACGGGAGGCAGCAGUGGGGAAUAUUGCACAAUGGGGGAAACCCUGAUGCAGCCAUGCCGCGUGUGUGAAGAAGGCCUUCGGGUUGUAAAGCACUUUCAGUUGUGAGGAAAAGUUAGUAGUUAAUACCUGCUAGCCGUGACGUUAACAACAGAAGAAGCACCGGCUAACUCCGUGCCAGCAGCCGCGGUAAUACGGAGGGUGCGAGCGUUAAUCGGAAUUACUGGGCGUAAAGCGCACGCAGGCGGUUUGUUAAGCUAGAUGUGAAAGCCCCGGGCUCAACCUGGGAUGGUCAUUUAGAACUGGCAGACUAGAGUCUUGGAGAGGGGAGUGGAAUUCCAGGUGUAGCGGUGAAAUGCGUAGAUAUCUGGAGGAACAUCAGUGGCGAAGGCGACUCCCUGGCCAAAGACUGACGCUCAUGUGCGAAAGUGUGGGUAGCGAACAGGAUUAGAUACCCC
Molecule: ribosomal RNA, 756 nt
Filed under: Vibrio sp.
Lineage: Bacteria; Pseudomonadati; Pseudomonadota; Gammaproteobacteria; Vibrionales; Vibrionaceae
Description: bacterial SSU rRNA
Rfam family: Bacterial small subunit ribosomal RNA
Source: RNAcentral